This 701-nucleotide ribosomal RNA is filed under the name Amblyomma javanense. RNAcentral describes it as "12S ribosomal RNA". Lineage: Eukaryota; Metazoa; Arthropoda; Arachnida; Ixodida; Ixodidae. The record is from RNAcentral.
AAUUUAUUUAUGAAAAAAAUCAAUUGAAAUUGAGAUUUAUAGAGUAAAAACUCUUUUUUAUAUUUUCAAAAUAUAUACUUGGUAUAGUUAAUAAAUCUAUGUAAAUAUUAAUAAAAAGAUGAAAAAGUAUAGUGAAGUAGUAAUUUUUCUUAUUAUGUCAUAAGGAUAUUCAAUGGGUAUAGCUCCUAAAAAAGUUAAUAAUAUAAAAAGGUGAAAUUUUUAAAUUAUUAAUUUAUUUAUUGAUUUUUAAAAAAUCUAAAAAGAGACUAGGAUUAGAUACCCUAUUAUUUAGAAAUAAAAUAUUGUUAGUAAGUAAUUAUUAUGAAAACAAAAAAUUAUGGCGGUAUUUCAAGCUUUUCAGAGGAAUUUGCUCUAUAAUGGAUAAAACACCUGAAUCUUACUAAAAUUAGUUAUAAUCAGUUUGUAUACCACUAUUAAUAAUAAUAAGUAAUAUUUAUUAUUUUAAUUUAAAAAAAAAAAUUUUUUUUUUUAAAUAAGUUAAGUCAUGGUGCAGCAAAAAUUUUUAGAAUGAAGUGAAUUACAAUUCUUUUAAGAUAAUUAAAGUUAAAUUAAUUUUAGGAUUUGAAAGUAAAAAUUCAAUAGUAUGGUAUUUUGAAUUAAGUUCUGAAAUAUGUACAUAUCGCCCGUCGCUCUUUAUUGAAGAUAAGUCGUAACAAAGUUAAAAUACUGGAAAGUGUUUU